RNAcentral lists this ribosomal RNA (1827 nucleotides) under human gut metagenome. Its description in RNAcentral is "bacterial LSU rRNA". It matches the Rfam family "Bacterial large subunit ribosomal RNA", at positions 829 to 2641 of the family's 2925-position model. The record is from RNAcentral.
CCAAUCGAACGUGGAGAUAGCUGGUUCUCCCCGAAAUAGCUUUAGGGCUAGCCUCAUGGCGAGAGUACAGGCGGUAGAGCACUGAACGGGGUAGGGGCCUAUCCGGCUACUGAACCUAAUCAAACUGCGAAUGGCUGUACUUAUCCAUGGGAGUCAGACUGUGAGUAAUAAGGCCCAUAGUCAAGAGGGAAACAGCCCAGACCAACAGCUAAGGUCCCCAAUGCCGUACUAAGUGGCGAAGGAUGUGGAAUUUCGAAAACAACCAGGAUGUUGGCUCAGAAGCAGCCACCAUUAAAAGAGUGCGUAAUAGCUCACUGGUCGAGAGACUCUGCGCCGAAGAUGUCCGGGGCUAAAGUACGGAACCGAAGCUUUGGCAAUUGACAUUAGUCAAUUGGGUAGGGGAGCGUUCCUGCAUGGGAGAAGCCUGACCGGAAGGACAGGUGGACAGGCAGGAAGAGAGAAUGCCGGUAUGAGUAGCGAAAAGAAGGGUGAGAAUCCCUUCCACCGAAAGCCUAAGGGUUCCUGGGCAACGAUCGUCGUCCCAGGGUAAGUCGGGACCUAAUCCGAGGCGGAGACGCGUAGGAGAUGGACAACAGGUUGAAAUUCCUGUACUGGCUGAGGCCGUUUGAGCGAAGGAGUGACACAGGAAGGAAGGCGCGCGUGCGAUUGGAAGAGCACGUCCAAGCAGGUAGGUUGGGAGACAGGCAAAUCCGUUUCCCAUGAGGCCGAGAUGCGAUGGGGAGCUUCUGGAGACAGAAGCGAAGGGGCUGGCACUAAACUGUCGAGAAAAGCUUCUAGUGAGGACUCAGGCACCCGUACCGAAACCGACACAGGUAGGCAGGAUGAGAAUUCUAAGGUGCGCGGGAAAACCCUCGUUAAGGAACUCGGCAAAAUAUAUCCGUAACUUCGGGAAAAGGAUAACCCAGCGUACGUGAAGUGCAGAAGCGCACGGAGCGGAGAUGGGUGGCAGAAGAGAGGCCCAAGCGACUGUUUACCACAAACACAGGCGUCUGCUAAAGCGAAAGCUGAUGUAUAGAUGCUGACACCUGCCCGGUGCUGGAAGGUUAAGAGGAAGUGUUAGCGCAAGCGAAGCAGUGAAUUGAAGCCCCAGUAAACGGCGGCCGUAACUAUAACGGUCCUAAGGUAGCGAAAUUCCUUGUCGGGUAAGUUCCGACCCGCACGAAAGGUGUAACGAUUUGGGCACUGUCUCAACGAGGGACCCGGUGAAAUUGAAGUACCUGUGAAGAUGCAGGUUACCCGCGACUGGACAGAAAGACCCCAUGGAGCUUUACUGUAACCUGAGAUUGGAUUCCGGUAAGAGAUGUACAGGAUAGUUGGGAGGCUUAGAUACAAGUACGCCAGUAUUUGUGGAGCCAUUGGUGGGAUACCAACCUUGUUUUAUUGGAAUUCUAACGAGAAGCGUAACGAGCUUGCGGACAGUCUCAGGCGGGCAGUUUGACUGGGGCGGUCGCCUCCGAAAGAGUAACGGAGGCGCCCAAAGGUUCCCUCAGCGCGGACGGAAACCGCGCGAAGAGUGCAAAGGCAGAAGGGAGCUUGACUGCGAGACGGACAGGUCGAGCAGGGACGAAAGUCGGGCUUAGUGAUCCGGUGGUAGAGAGUGGAAUUGCCAUCGCUCAACGGAUAAAAGCUACCCUGGGGAUAACAGGCUUAUCUCUCCCAAGAGUCCAUAUCGACGGGGAGGUUUGGCACCUCGAUGUCGGCUCAUCACAUCCUGGGGCUGAAGUAGGUCCCAAGGGUUGGGCUGUUCGCCCAUUAAAGUGGUACGCGAGCUGGGUUCAGAACGUCGUGAGACAGUUCGGUCCCUAU